This 468-nucleotide ribosomal RNA is filed under the name uncultured bacterium. Its description in RNAcentral is "partial 16S ribosomal RNA". It matches the Rfam family "Bacterial small subunit ribosomal RNA", at positions 28 to 507 of the family's 1533-position model. The record is from RNAcentral.
GACGAACGCUGGCGGCGUGCCUAACACAUGCCAGUCGAACGGAAAGGCCCUGAUCUUGUGGGGCGCACGAGUGCCGCACGGGUGAGUAACACGCGAGUAACCCGCCCCUGAAUUUGGGAUAAAUCUUGGAAACUCGGGCUAAUACCGGAUAGGAGCUACUGAUGCAUGGUGGGGGUUGGAAAGUUUCGGUGGUUGGGGAUGGACUAGCGGGUUAUCGGCUUGUUGGUGGGGUAGUGGCUUACCAAGGCUUGGACGGGUAGCCGGCCUGAGAGGGUGACCGGCCACCUAGGGACUGAGAGGCGGCAGAAGCUGCGACUGGAGGGAACAGUGCGGAAUAUUGCACGAGGAGCGGAGGCCUGGUGCAGCAAGUCCGCGGGCGGGAUAACGGCCUUCUGAGUGUAGACCACAUUCGCCUGUGACGAAGCGUGUGUUGCGGUAAUGUGUUAAGAAACACCGGCUAACUACGGG